CGCAUCUGUGCAUGCAGCAUAUCAAUAAGCGGAGGAAAAGAAACUAACAAGGAUUCCCUUAGUAACGGCGAGUGAAGCGGGAAGAGCUCAAAUUUGAAAUCUUCAAGGUUUUACCUUGACGAAUUGUAGUUUAAAGAAGUGUUUUCUGCUGAAGUUUUGGUAAAAGUUCUUUGGAAUAGGACAUCAUAGAGGGUGAGAAUCCCGUAUUUGACCAUUAUUUUCAGCUUUAGUGAUACACUUUCAAAGAGUCGGAUUGUUUGGGAAUGCAGUCCAAAAUGGGUGGUAAAUUUCAUCUAAAGCUAAAUAUUGGCGAGAGACCGAUAGCGAACAAGUACCGUGAGGGAAAGAUGAAAAGAACUUUGAAAAGAGAGUUAAACAGUACGUGAAAUUGUCAAAAGGGAAGCGUUUGACACCAGUGUUGUUUUCUCGAAAAUCAAUUAAAAAUGGCUCGAUUUUGUAUUGCUUGAGACCUUAAAAGCUCACUGUACAUUUUUCGUGUCUUUUUUAAUGCACUUUUCGUUUAACAAGUCAACAUCAGUUUCUUUUGUCGUAAAAGGGUCAUUGGAAGGUGGCUUUCUUUUCGGAGAAAGUGUUUAUAGCCUUUGGCCUCUGCAAUCGGAGAGACUGAGGUCUGCAGCGUAGACUCUUCGGGGUUAGAUACAUUUGUGCUAAGUUAUAGCUUUUUAUAGACAACUUGUUGACUAUAAUUAGUCUUGUAGCUUACUCGCUUAUGCUAUUUUACCUACGCUUAGGAUGUUGACGCAUGAGAUAUACGC
This 776-nucleotide ribosomal RNA is filed under the name uncultured Neocallimastigales. RNAcentral describes it as "partial large subunit ribosomal RNA". It matches the Rfam family "Eukaryotic large subunit ribosomal RNA", at positions 26 to 612 of the family's 3401-position model. The record is from RNAcentral. Lineage: Eukaryota; Fungi; Neocallimastigomycota; Neocallimastigomycetes; Neocallimastigales.